GCCGCCGCCGCCGAGUCGGCGGGACCCGGACCCGAGCAGCCUCCCCCCGCCGCAGCCGGAGGCCCGGCCAAGCUGACCCGCUUCGCGGAGGCCGGCGGAGCCCACGAGCGCCACGGAGGGGAGGCGGCGGCCGCCUGCGACAGGCCCAUCGGCCCGCAGCUCAAGCUGCUGCCCAUGAACGACCAGAUCCGGGAGCUGCAGACCAUCAUCCGCGACAAGACAGCCAGUAGAGGGGACUUCAUGUUUUCUGCGGAUCGCUUGAUCAGACUUGUGGUGGAGGAAGGGUUGAAUCAGCUGCCUUAUACAGAAUGCACAGUGACCACUCCAACAGGGUACAAAUAUGAAGGUGUAAAAUUUGAGAAAGGAAACUGCGGAGUCAGCAUCAUGAGAAGUGGCGAGGCGAUGGAACAAGGCCUGCGGGACUGUUGCCGAUCCAUACGCAUCGGCAAGAUCCUGAUCCAGAGCGACGAGGAGACGCAGAGAGCCAAAGUGUACUAUGCCAAGUUCCCCCCCGACAUCUACCGAAGAAAAGUCCUCCUGAUGUACCCAAUUCUAAGCACUGGGAACACCGUGAUCGAGGCGGUGAAGGUUCUCAUAGAGCACGGCGUCCAACCCAGCGUCAUCAUCCUGCUCAGCCUCUUCUCCACCCCCCACGUGUGGCAUUUCCUCCUGAUUUGAGAAGGGGACCCCGAACUAAGCCCUGAAGGACUCGCACGGUUAGAGGUGGGAAGCGGAGGAGGAGCCCCCCAGAGAGAACGGGAGAGGACAGUGUUUCAGGAGGAAGGGUGUGGCUGAAGGCAGCUGAGGAGAAUUAGGAUGGGAGAGAAACUCCUGAAUUUGCCAAGGAGAUCACUGGUCAGCGCUCAGCACCUAGUAAGCGCCUAACGAACGCCAUCGUCGUCAUUGGUGCCAAAUCCAUCGUCCAGGAGUUCCCAGAUAUCACCAUCUUAACCACAGAGGUUCACCCCGUGGCUCCGACGCACUUCGGACAGAAGUAUUUUGGAACGGACUGAGUUACGUGAGGGAAGCCGGGGUGGAACCGGGUAACGUUGGCAACAGCGGGCUCCGUCUCUGCUCGCCUUACGGUUUCGCUCGGGGAUGGAGAUGGGAGACUGAGGCAGGCCAAGGCCGAAGGGGAACCUCUCAAGAGCCGUUUUCACUUUUUGGGGAUCAUUCCCUGACCGUCGGAACCACGUGCAAUAACGAGGCGCUCCGAGGCAGCUUGAACGAUACGCUUACGCCCAUCGCCGGACCCUGUGCUCCGAUUGACUUAUUUCUCCCAUCUCCACGCUGCCUCGUGACGGCGGCUGCUCGCAGCUCCGAAAUAAAACCAAAACAAGAAGCGUU
This is an RNA transcript of Ornithorhynchus anatinus (platypus), 1347 nucleotides long. It is a transcript of the gene named uracil phosphoribosyltransferase homolog, with no coding region annotated. The record is from RefSeq and is a predicted model, not a curated record. The transcript is spliced from 8 exons. NCBI's taxonomy places the organism in Eukaryota, Metazoa, Chordata, Mammalia, Monotremata, Ornithorhynchidae.